This 473-nucleotide ribosomal RNA is filed under the name uncultured bacterium. RNAcentral describes it as "bacterial SSU rRNA". It matches the Rfam family "Bacterial small subunit ribosomal RNA", at positions 29 to 481 of the family's 1533-position model. The record is from RNAcentral.
AACGGACGCUGGCGGCGUGGAUAAGACAUGCAAGUCGAACGGGAUUAUUUUUGUAGCAAUACAGAAAUAAUUCAGUGGCGAACGGGUGCGUAACACGUGGGCAAUCUGCCGAAAAGUGGGGGAUAGCUCGCCGAAAGGCGAAUUAAUACCGCAUGUGGUGAGGGACGACAUCUUCCUGAAUCCAAAGCCGGGGCAACCUGGCGCUUUUUGAGGAGCCCGCGGCCUAUCAGCUUGUUGGCGGGGUAACGGCCCACCAAGGCUAUGACGGGUAGCUGGUCUGAGAGGACGACCAGUCACACUGGAACUGAGACACGGUCCAGACACCUACGGGUGGCAGCAGUCGAGAAUUUUUCUCAAUGGGGGCAACCCUGAAGGAGCGACGCCGCGUGGAGGAUGAAGGCUUUCGGGUUGUAAACUCCUGUCAUUUGAGAACAAGGCGCCGAUAUUAACUGUAUCAGCGUUGAUAGUAUCAG